GCUUCCGUAAGGGGAACCUGCGGAAGGAUCAUUAUCGAGUUUUGAAACGGGUUGUAGCUGGCCUUCCGAGGCAUGUGCACGCCCUGCUCAUCCACUCUACACCUGUGCACUUACUGUGGGUUUCAGGAACUUCGAAAGCGGGAGUCGCCUUCGCGGGCUUUUUCGCUGUAGUUGUGACUGGGCCUACGUUUAUCACAAACUCUUAUAAGUAUCAGAAUGUGUAUUUGCGAUGUAACGCAUCUCUAUACAACUUUCAGCAACGGAUCUCUUGGCUCUCGCAUCGAUGAAGAACGCAGCGAAAUGCGAUAAGUAAUGUGAAUUGCAGAAUUCAGUGAAUCAUCGAAUCUUUGAACGCACCUUGCGCUCCUUGGUAUUCCGAGGAGCAUGCCUGUUUGAGUGUCAUGAAAUUCUCAACCUAACGAGUUCUUAACGGGACUUGCUUAGGCUUGGACUUGGAGGCUUGUCGGCUAGCUUUCGUCUAGUCGGCUCCUCUCAAAUGCAUUAGCUUUGGUUCCUUGCGGAUCUGGCUCACGGUGUGAUAAUUGUCUACGCCGCGACCGUUGAAGCGUUUAUACGGGCCAGCUUCUAAUCGUCUCUCUGCGAGACAACAUUCAUCGAACUCUGACCUCAAAUCAGGUAGGACUACCCGCUGAACUUAAGCAUAUCAAUAAGGCCGGAGGAA
Molecule: ribosomal RNA, 682 nt
Filed under: Lentinus squarrosulus
Lineage: Eukaryota; Fungi; Basidiomycota; Agaricomycetes; Polyporales; Polyporaceae
Description: eukaryotic LSU rRNA
Rfam family: 5.8S ribosomal RNA (bases 249-402)
Source: RNAcentral